Molecule: long non-coding RNA, 667 nt
Organism: Canis lupus familiaris (dog)
Lineage: Eukaryota; Metazoa; Chordata; Mammalia; Carnivora; Canidae
Exons: 4
Source: RefSeq, a predicted model, not a curated record
CUGAAGCGCCUCCACGUCCGUGGUCUGAUUGUCCCGCGUCAUCCCAAGCGGCCCUGGAUUCCACUUCAGGGGCACAGCUCCGUCCUUGAACUCCAGGCAGUUUUCCUUCCCGUCUAGAACGCAAUUCAGGACUGUGAAGUACAAGCAAGGCCGCCAUGCAGCUUUCCAAGGAACCGCUCCCCAGGUGUGUGCUCUACAACAUGCAAAAGCUCCUGAGCUUAUUUACAUUCAGUGGCUUGGGAAGUCCUUGAGAGAGUUCUGAAGUUAUUUGUUCUCUUAUGAACACUGGAAAGAAAGUACAUUUACUACUGGGUUUAUUGAGAGGAAAGAACUCCGAUGUCCCUGUAGGGAUUACUCUCGGAAGAAGGCAAUUUCCUAAGACAAGCCCAAGAAGAAAAAGCGAGGAAGCCAACAGCCAUAGAGGACGGUAGCCACAGACCUGUUUCCUGAGAGGAACCUGAACCUGGGACCCUAUGCUUAGAUUCUAACAAACUUUCGGGGAACAAAUACCUCCCAUCUUAUACAACGGUUCCUGUGCCAGCAUGAUCUUAUAACAGAGCUAAAUAAAACACAAGUUAAGCUCACUUAUGAAAAGAUUCCAGCAUUCUAAAUAAAGCACAAUUGACCCUUGAACAACAUGGGCUUGAACUGCCUGGAUCCACUCAUU